Molecule: non-coding RNA, 102 nt
Filed under: Rhodospirillales bacterium
Lineage: Bacteria; Pseudomonadati; Pseudomonadota; Alphaproteobacteria; Rhodospirillales
Description: Glycine sequence
Rfam family: Glycine riboswitch aptamer
About the family: This family represents the bacterial glycine riboswitch. Glycine riboswitches usually consist of two metabolite-binding aptamers domains with similar structures in tandem. The aptamers cooperatively bind glycine to regulate the expression of downstream genes.
Source: RNAcentral
GACGCUACCGCGGGAGAGUCCGCCGGGCCCCUGUCACGGCCCGCCGGCGCCGAAGGAGCAACCACCCCGGAAACUCUCAGGCCUCAGGACCGCGGCAGCAGA